GACGAACGCUGGCGGCGUGCUUAACACAUGCAAGUCGAACGGAAAGGCCCUGCUUUUGUGGGGUGCUCGAGUGGCGAACGGGUGAGUAACACGUGAGUAACCUGCCCUUGACUUUGGGAUAACUUCAGGAAGCUGGGGCUAAUACCGGAUAGGAGCUCCUGCUGCAUGGUGGGGGUUGGAAAGUUUCGGCGGUUGGGGAUGGACUCGCGGCUUAUCAGCUUGUUGGUGGGGUAGUGGCUUACCAAGGCUUUGACGGGUAGCCGGCCUGAGAGGGUGACCGGCACACUGGCGACAGAGAUACGGCCGGGAGUCCUACGGGAGGCAGCAGUGGGGAAUAUUGCACAAUGGGGGGAAGCCUGAUGCAGGAACGCCGCGUGCGGGAUGAUGGCCUUCGGGUGGUAAACCGUUUUCGCCUGUGACGAAGCGUGGGUGACGGUAAUGGGUAAAGAAGCACCGGCUAACUACGUG
This 468-nucleotide ribosomal RNA is filed under the name uncultured bacterium. RNAcentral describes it as "partial 16S ribosomal RNA". It matches the Rfam family "Bacterial small subunit ribosomal RNA", at positions 28 to 507 of the family's 1533-position model. The record is from RNAcentral.